RNAcentral lists this ribosomal RNA (499 nucleotides) under uncultured Glomeromycotina. Its description in RNAcentral is "partial small subunit ribosomal RNA". It matches the Rfam family "Eukaryotic small subunit ribosomal RNA", at positions 591 to 1092 of the family's 1831-position model. Lineage: Eukaryota; Fungi; Glomeromycota. The record is from RNAcentral.
CCAAUAGCGUAUAUUAAAGUUGUUGCAGUUAAAAAGCUCGUAGUUGAAUUUCGGAAACAGUACGCCGGUCGUGCCUCCGGUAUGCACUGGUGUCACUGGUUCCUCCCUUCUGAAGAACCAUCAUGCCCUUAAUUUGGUGUUGUGGGGAAUCAGGACUGUUACUUUGAAAAAAUUAGAGUGUUUAAAGCAGGCUCACGCUUGAAUACAUUAGCAUGGAAUAAUGAAAUAGGACGUUGAUCUUAUUUUGUUGGUUUCUAGGAUUGACGUAAUGAUUAAUAGGGAUAGUUGGGGGCAUUAGUAUUCAAUUGUCAGAGGUGAAAUUCUUGGAUUUAUUGAAGACUAACUACUGCGAAAGCAUUUGCCAAGGAUGUUUUCAUUAAUCAAGAACGAAAGUUAGGGGAUCGAAGACGAUCAGAUACCGUCGUAGUCUUAACCAUAAACUAUGCCGAUUAGGGAUCGGAUGAUGUUAAUUUUUUAAUGACUCAUUCGGCGCCUUACG